RNAcentral lists this long non-coding RNA (329 nucleotides) under Lonchura striata (white-rumped munia). Its description in RNAcentral is "domestica (Bengalese finch) lncRNA (ENSLSDG00000009548.1)". The record is from RNAcentral. Lineage: Eukaryota; Metazoa; Chordata; Aves; Passeriformes; Estrildidae.
CCGCGGUGCCCGCGCGUGUGUGGCGGGGCAGCGGCUGUUCCGCGCCCUGCCCGGGCAUGGCUCAGCCCUCGGGAUCCCGGCGGAGCCGGCGGACAGGAAGCUUUAAAUUAUUGGAUGUGGGAGUAUCGGCACCUCCUACGUAACGCUCAUCAGCGUGCAGAAGUAAACUAGUCUGGUCACUUAUGGAGGCCCAUUUAAAACCAAGAGGAUUACUCAGAAUGAAAAGAAAGCUUUCAGGAAUCUUCACUUUAAAAAAACCCCAAAAGGUCAUCCUCCCAGAAGUCAAAUCUAACCUUGAGAGAAAGACGCCACUUUGGAGCAGUUCAUAG